Molecule: long non-coding RNA, 295 nt
Organism: Pipra filicauda (Wire-tailed manakin)
Lineage: Eukaryota; Metazoa; Chordata; Aves; Passeriformes; Pipridae
Exons: 3
Source: RefSeq, a predicted model, not a curated record
GGCAGGAGCUGUGUCCUGCGGCAGCCGCUGACAUUCCAGUGCCAUCCCGACAGUGUUUGGUGUUCCCCGCUGGGCGCGGGUGGAGGGCACGGAGAUGGCUCUAUUGGCUUGUAUUCUUUUCUCUGCCUUCCAUUGGUGGUUUUUUAAACGAGCCAAAAAGAAACAAUAUCCCUGGGGAAGACUUGGGAGCAGAAGCAUACUGUCAGCUGGACUGAGUCAUAAAUUCUUCAGUCAACAGCAGUUCUGCGAGUGCCGGGAACAGAAAUGUUAAAGUCUUGUACAGAGAGUAAAGAGC